GCCAGGCAUGGUGGUGCAUGCCUGUAAUCCCAGCUACUCGGGAGGCUGAGGCAGGAGAAUCACUUGAACCCGGGAGGUGGAGGUUGUAGUGAGGAGAGAUCGCACCACUGCACUCCAGCCUGGGCGACAGAGUGAGACUCUGUCUCAA
Non-coding RNA from Gorilla gorilla gorilla (western lowland gorilla), 148 nucleotides. It matches the Rfam family "Metazoan signal recognition particle RNA". From Rfam's summary of the family: The signal recognition particle (SRP) is a universally conserved ribonucleoprotein. It is involved in the co-translational targeting of proteins to membranes. Lineage: Eukaryota; Metazoa; Chordata; Mammalia; Primates; Hominidae. The record is from Rfam.